AACGUAGGACGCGAGCGUUAUCCGGAUUUACUGGGCGUAAAGCGCGUGCAGGCGGUCUGUUAAGUCGUGCGUGAAAGCUCCCUGGCUCAACCGGGAGAGGUCGUACGAGACUGGCAGGCUUGAGGGCAGCAGAGGAGUGUGGAAUUCCGGGUGUAGUGGUGAAAUGCGUAGAUAUCCGGAGGAACACCAGUGGCGAAGGCGACACUCUGGGCUGUACCUGACGCUAAGACGCGAAAGCAUGGGUAGCGAACGGG
Molecule: ribosomal RNA, 254 nt
Filed under: uncultured prokaryote
Description: partial 16S ribosomal RNA
Rfam family: Bacterial small subunit ribosomal RNA
Source: RNAcentral